CUUUGAGUCGCGGUCAAGUUCAGUGAGAGGCACGGGACUGUCUAUCCCAGAGCGCCAGGAGCCAAGGUUUCAGUUAAGUUUCAGUGGCUACUACUCUACAAACCGCUCUCUCCUUUCCUCUCUCUCUCCAGCCAAGACACAAUGAAUGUUUACCAAACACCAGAGAAGGAGAUCAUCUCAGGGCUUUCUUACAGGAAAAUAAGUGAUAGUGUUAUAUGGAAUAAUGAAUCUACUGCCACCAUGGAGAUGAAUCCAGAGGGCCUACCUUCCCUGGACUACAGGGAAGAGGACCCCCCUCCCAACAAACACUUCAAGUACCACACCAGCCUGCAGAACAUGAUCCCAUUCCGCUUCUCAAACAAGUAAGUCCCAACUACACACCUCUAACCCCU
Oncorhynchus gorbuscha (pink salmon) is the source of this 392-nucleotide long non-coding RNA. RefSeq lists it as uncharacterized. The record is from RefSeq and is a predicted model, not a curated record. The transcript is spliced from 3 exons. Lineage: Eukaryota; Metazoa; Chordata; Actinopteri; Salmoniformes; Salmonidae.